UUUUCUUCUUCUUUCUUCUUCUUCUCUGUUUCUUCUCUUUUUCUACGUCGAUCUCAGUUCAGAAGAACUGAGUUAUUUUGUGUGAGAUUUUCAUGGAAAGUUAGGUAGUGUAAUGAAUCGAAGAAGAUGAAGUUAUAACUGAAGUUGAUUGAACUCGAGAGAAGAAGAAGCUGAUGCUGUUGUAGUUGAAAUUAGGGUUUUGGGUUUGUUUCGAGUUCUUAGGUGAAUCGAGGGGUCAAAUGGACUGUUUACAAAUGAAGAUUAUGAGGGUUGGUGUUUAAUUAAAGUUUGAAGUUGUUCCGACGAAGAUUCAAAAGAAAGUUAAUCUUUAUUAACAACGAUCGAUCUAAAGAACGAACCAUUGGAUUAUGGAUCUCAAGGUAUGCGAGGCUUGUCGUCAAAAGGGAGACAGAUCAAGUUGUGCACGUGGCGAUGAAAGAUUUGAGGAGUUGGUUUCGUUAGUCGGUUAGCUUCCGCUAUGUUUAUUUUGUUGUAUAAUUUAUUUGUAAAUCAACUCACCAUUAAAUAUGUAUCACUUGAGAGGAGUUCUUGUAUUUAUUUCAGAGAUGGUUUAGAUUCAGGUUAAUCUUUGUUUAAAACUUCUUUUUUAGUGUUUUAAAUAGAUGUUUUAGAUUGU
Papaver somniferum (opium poppy) is the source of this 637-nucleotide long non-coding RNA. RefSeq lists it as uncharacterized. The transcript is spliced from 3 exons. NCBI's taxonomy places the organism in Eukaryota, Viridiplantae, Streptophyta, Magnoliopsida, Ranunculales, Papaveraceae. The record is from RefSeq and is a predicted model, not a curated record.